RNAcentral lists this transfer RNA (66 nucleotides) under Pseudoregma bambucicola. RNAcentral describes it as "tRNA-Arg". Lineage: Eukaryota; Metazoa; Arthropoda; Insecta; Hemiptera; Hormaphididae. The record is from RNAcentral.
UAAUAAGAAGUAAAUAUUUUUUACAUAUUAAUUUCGACUUAAUAAUAGAUUCAAAAUCCUUAUUAA